RNAcentral lists this ribosomal RNA (1240 nucleotides) under Listeria monocytogenes. RNAcentral's name for it is "partial 23S ribosomal RNA". It matches the Rfam family "Bacterial large subunit ribosomal RNA", at positions 387 to 1624 of the family's 2925-position model. Lineage: Bacteria; Bacillati; Bacillota; Bacilli; Caryophanales; Listeriaceae. The record is from RNAcentral.
GCUUUCCCUCCAGAGUGGAUCCUGAGUACGGCGGAACACGUGAAAUUCCGUCGGAAUCCGGGAGGACCAUCUCCCAAGGCUAAAUACUCCCUAGUGACCGAUAGUGAACCAGUACCGUGAGGGAAAGGUGAAAAGCACCCCGGAAGGGGAGUGAAACAGUUCCUGAAACCGUGUGCCUACAAGUAGUUAGAGCCCGUUAAUGGGUGAUAGCGUGCCUUUUGUAGAAUGAACCGGCGAGUUACGAUUUGUUGCAAGGUUAAGCGGAAAAAGCGGAGCCGUAGCGAAAGCGAGUCUGAAUAGGGCGCAUAAGUAACAGGUCGUAGACCCGAAACCAGGUGAUCUACCCAUGUCCAGGAUGAAGGUAAGGUAAUACUUACUGGAGGUCCGAACCCACGCACGUUGAAAAGUGCGGGGAUGAGGUGUGGGUAGCGGAGAAAUUCCAAUCGAACUUGGAGAUAGCUGGUUCUCUCCGAAAUAGCUUUAGGGCUAGCCUCGAGGUAAAGAGUCAUGGAGGUAGAGCACUGUUUGGACUAGGGGCCCUUCUCGGGUUACCGAAUUCAGAUAAACUCCGAAUGCCAUGUACUUAUACUCGGGAGUCAGACUGCGAGUGAUAAGAUCCGUAGUCGAAAGGGAAACAGCCCAGACCACCAGUUAAGGUCCCCAAAUAUAUGUUAAGUGGAAAAGGAUGUGGGGUUGCUUAGACAACCAGGAUGUUGGCUUAGAAGCAGCCACCAUUGAAAGAGUGCGUAAUAGCUCACUGGUCGAGUGACCCCGCGCCGAAAAUGUACCGGGGCUAAACAUAUUACCGAAACUGUGGAUGAACCUCUUUAGAGGUUCGUGGUAGGAGAGCGUUCUAAGGGCGGUGAAGUCAGACCGGAAGGACUGGUGGAGCGCUUAGAAGUGAGAAUGCCGGUAUGAGUAGCGAAAGAAGGGUGAGAAUCCCUUCCACCGAAUAUCUAAGGUUUCCUGAGGAAGGCUCGUCCGCUCAGGGUUAGUCGGGACCUAAGCCGAGGCCGAUAGGCGUAGGCGAUGGACAACAGGUAGAGAUUCCUGUACCAGUGCUAAUUGUUUAACCGAUGGGGUGACACAGAAGGAUAGGGAAUCGCACGAAUGGAAAUGUGCGUCCAAGCAGUGAGUGUGAGAAGUAGGCAAAUCCGCUUCUCGCGAAGCAUGAGCUGUGAUGGGGAAGGAAAUUAAGUACGGAAGUUCCUGAUUUCACGCUGUCAAGAAAAGCCUCUAG